This 1722-nucleotide long non-coding RNA is filed under the name Pollicipes pollicipes. RNAcentral's name for it is "uncharacterized LOC119097913". Lineage: Eukaryota; Metazoa; Arthropoda; Thecostraca; Pollicipedomorpha; Pollicipedidae. The record is from RNAcentral.
GGGGCAUUUGCGUUUUUGUCAUAACCGGGUUGAUGAAACGUUCACUGAUAGUCAAUAAUGGCUAACGAGUUAGUCAUAAAGGUCAACGUGGAACCUUCUCCCGUGGGCGAUGAUGGAGGCACGUUCCACGUCGAAAUGGAAACGGGCCUGAUCGUCGACAGCGACCUGAGGCCCUUCUGGGCGAAGCACCUUCAAAGUACCAGCUUCGCCCACCGUCGUGGGCUGGGACAGCCCUGGUCGCCAGCAGAGUUGGCCACCAUCGAUCUCGCGCGGGACGCUCAUCUGGACAAGCAAGCCAAACGAGGGCAGCCCAGCAGGACAGCCAGAGCCCUGGCCUUUUUGAAGACCGGUCACGCAUGGGACCUGCAAAAGAGGACGGCGCAGAUGUUCAUCUCGCGAAUGAUAUAGGCAGAUGCCCGAGGGCAGUAGGUCAGCCGUGGCGGAGGUCUCCAUCACGGUGUGGGAGUGGUUGACCGCCCUCCCUUGAGAUCGCUCCCGUCCGACAAGCCGGCGAGCGGGAAAGGCUCCCGGCACGGUGUGCCACCGAGGGAGGGUGGUCAGCCACUCCCACGCCGUGGCGCAGACUGCUCCGUCCCUCUGCUACGGCGGGCCCGAAAAUCCCCGGCUGUGCCCCCGAUCCGGCGGCCACGUGGCCGGCUGGAGGCAGGGGGCAGCCAAGGGACCCUCCACUCACCAGCGUGGCGAGCGGAGGCUUCCGGGGAGGGCCACUGGGAAACGGCCUCACCCCGGGGAAACCACACGCCCACCUCUCCCCCUAAGCGGCAGGCCCCAGCCGUUCCCGGUGCAGUGAGUCAAACCAGAAGCAGACAAAACGGUGGCGCGCGCUCUGGCGCGUCACCUCGCAGAGUGCGAGGCACCGGGGCCUUCAGGCCGAUGGCCGACGCGCCGUUCGGCAAGCCAUUUUUUGUGGCGGCGCACCAGUCGGUCGCAGAUGACCUAGACGCCGCAAUGGCCCCAAAAAUUCCGCUGAAGGCCGAUCAGCGCAGCGGACUUAGAGACGCUCGACACCUUGGGAAAAGAAAGGGGAAGAGGUCUAACACUAACGCCAACAGAAAUCAAAGACCAAACCAUCCUGAGGGAUUCCUUGUUUUGCCACUCUGACAGGCAUGAUCUCUUUACAGCGAAAGGGGCCUACGCUCGUACAAAAAUCAGUCGAUCUAGCCGCAGCCUGCUGGCCGGUUUUGAGAAGCGCCUCGGGCUGGCGGUGCCAGACUUCAGAUAUGUCUUGACCUCCCAGGCAAACAGGCGCCGGAUCCGUACCACCCUAUACGAUGCAUAUCAGGAGUCCGCUGACCUCGACGUGGGUAUGACUUGUGCCGUACGUGCUUUUCUAAAGUUCAUACAUCAGCGACUCGCUGAAGUAACAAACGGCGGAGCCUGGAAGGAGAUGCUGGAACUGACGAUCGCCGUGCUAUCGUCCGUCCUGAAGGAGAAUCAGGGCUUGAUGCGACAGCGCCAGUCAGCUCGGAAAGUUAAACACAUGCAUGAGGAGAAGCUGUCCCACGACGAGAGAGUCCUCAUCAGGCGCGAGCUAGAGCGGCACCUGGCCAUUGUCCUUGAAGCCGGCAAAGACUGACUGCCGACCAACCCUGUCGCCCUGCGGCAUGUGGAUGUCAAGGUCCACCAAAUGGUGUAUGUCACAAGCCGCCGAGGCCGACAUCUUGAGCGUUUGCUGAAUACAAAUAAUAUUUGUGUUGUUAA